RNAcentral lists this ribosomal RNA (445 nucleotides) under uncultured bacterium. RNAcentral's name for it is "bacterial SSU rRNA". It matches the Rfam family "Bacterial small subunit ribosomal RNA", at positions 330 to 792 of the family's 1533-position model. The record is from RNAcentral.
GCCAGACUCCUACGGGAGGCAGCAGUGGGGAAUAUUGCACCAUGGGGGAAACCCUGCUGCAGCAACGCCGCUUGAGUGACGCCGUAUUUCGGUAUUUCCCGCUCUAUCAGCCUUGAAGAAGAUGCCGGUACCUGAUUCCUCCGCCCCGGCUCCCUCCGUGCCAUCCUCCUCGGUAAUCCUUCUGUGGCAAGCGUUAUCCGGAUUUCCUGGGUGUAAAGGGCGUGUAGGCGGGACUGCAAGUCAGAUGUGAAAAUUAGGGGAGCAACCCAUAACCUGCAUUUGAAACUGUAGUUCUUGAGUGAUGGAGAGGCAGGCGGAAUUCCGUGUGUAGCGGUGAAAUGCGUAGAGAGACGGAGGAACACCAGUGGCGAAGGCGGCCUGCUGGACAUUAACUGACGCUGAGGCGCGAAAGCGUGGGGAGCAAACAGGAUUAGAUACCCCGGUA